RNAcentral lists this ribosomal RNA (627 nucleotides) under uncultured eukaryote. RNAcentral describes it as "bacterial SSU rRNA". It matches the Rfam family "Eukaryotic small subunit ribosomal RNA", at positions 572 to 1070 of the family's 1831-position model. The record is from RNAcentral.
AGCCGCGGUAACACCAGCUGCACAGGUGUAUAUUAAAGUUGUUGCAGUUAAAAAGCUCGUAGUUGGAUAUCUGUCUUGACUGACCUAGCCCUAGGCCUUCGGGUUCUGGCGUGCUGGUUGUGGCGACCUCUGCUUCGGCGGUUGUGUUGCCCGUCAUGUCGGACAUACUUCAGGAAAUCUAUCCUGCCUUUAAUUAGGUUGGGGUAAGGAUCCUGAUCGUUUACUUCGAAAAAAUUAGAGUGUUUAACGCAGGCUUUGUGUCGCGAAUAGAUUAGCAUGGAAUAAUAAGAUAGGACUUCGGCAUCGUGCGUGGUCGCCCUUGGUUAAGGUCGUGUUGUGCUUUUCGGAGUGCGCGCGGUUGGCGCCUUGGGGCUAACGGCUGCGGGCUGUUCUAUUUUGUUGGUUUCUAGAGCUGAAGUAAUGAUUGAUAGGGAUAGUUGGGGGUGCUCGUAUUGCCCGGGCCAGAGGUGAAAUUCUCGGAUUCUGGUAAGACGAACUUAUGCGAAAGCAUUCACCCAGGAUGUCUUCUUUAAUCAAGAACGAAAGUUGGGGGAUCGAAGACGAUCAGAUACCGUCGUAGUCUCAACCGUAAACUAUGCCAUCUCAGGAUCGGGCGUCGUUGUUCAC